UCCCUUGUGGCUAAGCCGGUAAAGAAUCCGCCUGCAAUGCGGGAGACCUGGGUUUGAUCCCUGGGUUGGGAA
Molecule: transfer RNA, 72 nt
Filed under: Bos taurus (domestic cattle)
Lineage: Eukaryota; Metazoa; Chordata; Mammalia; Artiodactyla; Bovidae
Also listed under: 5 other names
Rfam family: tRNA
About the family: Transfer RNA (tRNA) molecules are approximately 80 nucleotides in length. Their secondary structure includes four short double-helical elements and three loops (D, anti-codon, and T loops). Further hydrogen bonds mediate the characteristic L-shaped molecular structure. tRNAs have two regions of fundamental functional importance: the anti-codon, which is responsible for specific mRNA codon recognition, and the 3' end, to which the tRNAs corresponding amino acid is attached (by aminoacyl-tRNA synthetases). tRNAs cope with the degeneracy of the genetic code in two manners: having more than one tRNA (with a specific anti-codon) for a particular amino acid; and 'wobble' base-pairing, i.e. permitting non-standard base-pairing at the 3rd anti-codon position.
Source: Rfam by way of RNAcentral